RNAcentral lists this ribosomal RNA (526 nucleotides) under Salmonella enterica. Its description in RNAcentral is "bacterial SSU rRNA". It matches the Rfam family "Bacterial small subunit ribosomal RNA", at positions 1007 to 1533 of the family's 1533-position model. RNAcentral also lists the same sequence under 1 other name. The record is from RNAcentral. Lineage: Bacteria; Pseudomonadati; Pseudomonadota; Gammaproteobacteria; Enterobacterales; Enterobacteriaceae.
UGGAUUGGUGCCUUCGGGAACUGUGAGACAGGUGCUGCAUGGCUGUCGUCAGCUCGUGUUGUGAAAUGUUGGGUUAAGUCCCGCAACGAGCGCAACCCUUAUCCUUUGUUGCCAGCGGUUAGGCCGGGAACUCAAAGGAGACUGCCAGUGAUAAACUGGAGGAAGGUGGGGAUGACGUCAAGUCAUCAUGGCCCUUACGACCAGGGCUACACACGUGCUACAAUGGCGCAUACAAAGAGAAGCGACCUCGCGAGAGCAAGCGGACCUCAUAAAGUGCGUCGUAGUCCGGAUUGGAGUCUGCAACUCGACUCCAUGAAGUCGGAAUCGCUAGUAAUCGUGGAUCAGAAUGCCACGGUGAAUACGUUCCCGGGCCUUGUACACACCGCCCGUCACACCAUGGGAGUGGGUUGCAAAAGAAGUAGGUAGCUUAACCUUCGGGAGGGCGCUUACCACUUUGUGAUUCAUGACUGGGGUGAAGUCGUAACAAGGUAACCGUAGGGGAACCUGCGGUUGGAUCACCUCCUUA